Molecule: long non-coding RNA, 1059 nt
Filed under: Helianthus annuus (common sunflower)
Lineage: Eukaryota; Viridiplantae; Streptophyta; Magnoliopsida; Asterales; Asteraceae
Description: sRNA HanXRQr2_Chr13g0614241
Source: RNAcentral
UUCUGUAUAUUUGUUUUUCGAAUGAAUUAAUACCCCUCUAUAUAGAAAGGAGAUAUAUAAUUACCAAAUGCAGCAAUUAAUCUUUAAAGUUUAGUUGUACUAAAAAGAUUUUCAACAGAAGCAGUUUACUUGCAAUUAAGCUUAGUGAGGCUUAUAUAGAAAACACAAUUUGCUACAGAAAACACAAAUUUUUACUGGGUAGCCAUCGUUACGCGGUCCAAACCAUUUUUUAACCCAUUUAACCAAUCACCUAAGGAACCAAGUCUCACACAAAUUUAGGUUAAUUAUCACCUUGAAACACAUCAGCUUUGACGUCUUUCAACUCAGCUCACAAUCAUAUAAGCUACCGGGAGUAGAAACAAAUUAAAUAAGACAAAAUAUACAUAAACAAAGGGAGUAGACAACGAACCAAAUUGAGAGCGUAAUACAUUGGAAACAAAGUUUUCUUGCAGCUCCGAUAUGAUAAAACGCAAGCAUCCGUCCUUGUCUUCUUCUCCAAUCUUCUCGAACCUGCAAACCAAAAACAUUUAAAGAAUCAUCACACAUAUCCCUACAAAGAUAAACACAAACUUUCAAACAUAAAACAAGUUAUACAACAAACACAGAUCAAAACAAUCUUGAAAAGUUGAAAUAAAACACCCAGAUCCCCAAAAUCAAGAAAACCCAAUUGAGAUUGCGACCAAAAUUAGGGCUACAAAACAGAAAUUAACCUUGAACCAUGAAAGGUGAUUGAGUUUCGACCCUUCUAUCAAAUGGUACACUCAUCACUGAUUGAUCUUGAUUCAAUGGUUAUUUACAUCAGCAAAUCCCUAAAAACAAAAUCAAUAUCAAAGCUUUGAUUUUAGGUUGAUGAUUUCUGAAUAAAAGACAAAUCAUGGGUAGUUUUGAGUUCUUGAGAAAAAAAUUAAAAGUUGUCGAUUCAAUUGGAGAAGUAUGAUACCUGGAAUGAAGGAGAAGCCGUGAUUGAAGCAGCGUAACAAAGCGGAGGGGAACAUGUGGUGGAAUCCUCACAGAUCUGGUCAUGAAACGGAUCUGGAAUUGAAAAGUCGAUCCGUGUGA